RNAcentral lists this ribosomal RNA (749 nucleotides) under Leptolegnia sp. MNS-2014a. RNAcentral's name for it is "eukaryotic LSU rRNA". The stretch from base 210 to 364 matches the Rfam family "5.8S ribosomal RNA". Lineage: Eukaryota; Oomycota; Saprolegniomycetes; Saprolegniales; Saprolegniaceae. The record is from RNAcentral.
GGGACAAGGUUUCCGUAGGUGAACCUGCGGAAGGAUCAUUACCACACCAAUAAACUAUCCACGUGAACGUAUACUUAUAUUGGGUUUGUGUUGCUCCCCCGGGAGCGACUAACCGAAGGUUUCGAAAGGAACCGAUGAACUUUUAAUCCCUUUUACUUAAUGUCUGAACCAAUUUGGCAUACAGAAAUGUGUGCUUACAAUUGACAUACAACUUUCAACAGUGGAUGUCUAGGCUCGCACAUCGAUGAAGAACGCUGCGAACUGCGAUACGUAAUGCGAAUUGCAGAAUUCAGUGAGUCAUCAAAAUUUUGAACGCAUAUUGCACUUCCGGGUUAGUCCUGGGAGUAUGCUUGUAUCAGUGUCCGUUAAUACUAAAUUGUUUCAUGUAUUUGAAGCAGAAUGUGAAGUGUCUUGCUUCGGCAAGUCCUUUUAAAUGAGUAUUACCUGUGCACCCUUGUGGUUUGUACAAUAUAAAGGUAUUGCAAUUUCGACUUUGGCCGUCCGGAGUAAAGAUGCCCGGCUUGGAAGGAGGAAUGGAUCGCGGUAGUUUUGCUUGUGCUUCGGUGCAGGUGAAUCGUGUUAUUGCUUUUUGUUCUUUUGGAAGGGCCCCGUGUUUGAUCGCUGGAUUCAAUUUCGAGUUGUACGUACUGGUGCAUUCCUUGGUGUAUGGAGGCAAAUUGGGAAACAAAUCCAAUUUGGACCUGAUAUCAAGCAAGACUACCCGCUGAACUUAAGCAUAUCAUAAUCGG